Molecule: ribosomal RNA, 253 nt
Filed under: uncultured bacterium
Lineage: Bacteria
Description: partial 16S ribosomal RNA
Rfam family: Bacterial small subunit ribosomal RNA
Source: RNAcentral
UACAGAGGUCUCAACCGUUGUUCGGAUUCAUUGGGCGUAAAGGGUGCGUAGGCGGUCGCGCAAGUUGGAUGUGAAAUCUCAGGGCUCAACCCUGAAACUGCAUUCGAUACUGCGUGGCUAGAGUGCUGGAGAGGAGACUGGAAUUUACGGUGUAGCAGUGAAAUGCGUAGAUAUCGUAAGGAAGACCAGUGGCGAAGGCGAGUCUCUGGACAGCAACUGACGCUGAGGCACGAAGGCCAGGGGAGCAAACGGG